This is a small nucleolar RNA of Vicia villosa (hairy vetch), 86 nucleotides long. RefSeq annotates it as small nucleolar RNA R38. The record is from RefSeq and is a predicted model, not a curated record. The transcript has a single exon. Lineage: Eukaryota; Viridiplantae; Streptophyta; Magnoliopsida; Fabales; Fabaceae.
UGAUAUGGAUGAUGAGAUUAUCAAUUUAACAGUUAUCCCUGACUGAUGAUGUUUCGGGUGCUGAUAAUUUUUAAUUUGACAUUUUC